This is a long non-coding RNA of Hyla sarda, 234 nucleotides long. RefSeq lists it as uncharacterized. NCBI's taxonomy places the organism in Eukaryota, Metazoa, Chordata, Amphibia, Anura, Hylidae. The transcript is spliced from 3 exons. The record is from RefSeq and is a predicted model, not a curated record.
GGUCAAUCUGGUCAGUUUACACAUUAAUGAGAGGAGGGAAGAAAAAGUUGCUCGACGAGAAAUAAGGCGACAGCUACCUACGGCUGAGGUUCUCUGGUGAUGAUCAUCUGAAGAUCAAGAAAAUCACUCUGGAUACUCCGGUAUGGAUCUCUUCAUCCUGGAACUCUUCCUCCCAGCUAGCGAUUGCCAACUACACCAACCACCAAAUGUCCUCCAAAUCCUAUGUCUGCAACC